UACGUAGGGUCCGAGCGUUGUCCGGAAUUAUUGGGCGUAAAGAGCUCGUAGGCGGUUUGUCGCGUCUGCUGUGAAAUCCCGAGGCUCAACCUCGGGUCUGCAGUGGGUACGGGCAGACUGGAGUGCGGUAGGGGAGAAUGGAAUUCCUGGUGUAGCGGUGGAAUGCGCAGAUAUCAGGAGGAACACCGAUGGCGAAGGCAGUUCGCUGGGACGUUACUGACGCUGAGACGCGAAAGCGUGGGGAGCAAACAGG
This 253-nucleotide ribosomal RNA is filed under the name uncultured bacterium. RNAcentral's name for it is "partial 16S ribosomal RNA". It matches the Rfam family "Bacterial small subunit ribosomal RNA", at positions 524 to 776 of the family's 1533-position model. The record is from RNAcentral.